This 500-nucleotide ribosomal RNA is filed under the name uncultured bacterium. RNAcentral describes it as "partial 16S ribosomal RNA". It matches the Rfam family "Bacterial small subunit ribosomal RNA", at positions 30 to 523 of the family's 1533-position model. The record is from RNAcentral.
AUUGAACGCUGGCGGAAUGCUUUACACAUGCAAGUCGAACGGCAGCACGGACUUCGGUCUGGUGGCGAGUGGCGAACGGGUGAGUAAUGUAUCGGAACGUGCCCAGUCGUGGGGGAUAACGUAGUGAAAAUUACGCUAAUACCGCAUACGAUCUAUGGAUGAAAGCGGGGGAUCGCAAGACCUCGCGCGAUUGGAGCGGCCGCUAUCAGAUUAGGUAGUUGAUGGGGUAAAGGCCCACCAAGCCAACGAUCUGUAGCUGGUCUGAGAGGACGACCAGCCACGCUGGAACUGAGACACGGUCCAGACUCCUACGGGAGGCAGCAGUGGGGAAUUUUGGACAAUGGGCGAAAGCCUGAUCCAGCCAUUCCGCGUGCAGGAUGAAGGCCCUCGGGUUGUAAACUGCCUUUGUACAGAACGAAAAGGUUUCUACUAAUACUAGGAGCUCAUGACGGUACUGUAAGAAUAAGCACCGGCUAACUACAUGCCAGCAGCCGCCGUAA